Molecule: ribosomal RNA, 253 nt
Filed under: uncultured bacterium
Lineage: Bacteria
Description: partial 16S ribosomal RNA
Rfam family: Bacterial small subunit ribosomal RNA
Source: RNAcentral
UACGGAGGGGGCUAGCGUUGUUCGGAAUUACUGGGCGUAAAGCGCACGUAGGCGGCUUUGUAAGUUAGAGGUGAAAGCCCAGGGCUCAACCCUGGAAUUGCCUUUAAGACUGCAUCGCUUGAACAUCGGAGAGGUAAGUGGAAUUCCGAGUGUAGAGGUGAAAUUCGUAGAUAUUCGGAAGAACAUCGGUGGCGAAGGCGACUUACUGGACGAUUGUUGACGCUGAGGUGCGAAAGCGUGGGGAGCAAACAGG